UGUAGACAUAUUUUAGAGUGUAGAUUCACUCAUUUUGCUUUGUAUGUAGUUCCCUAGUGAAAUCUCUAAAAAGACUUAUAUUUAGAAACGGAGGGAGUACAUGUGUAGGUUGUUAAUCAGAGUAUGUCCGCGCGCGUGUCUGGCCUUUUGUCGUAUUCUUUAGAACUGUUAGUUUGCCCUAAGAAAAACAGCUGCUUCACAAAUAUCUCCAGUCCCUUCCUAUUCGAAACACAAGGGUGCCAUGUGAUGACAUGGGUAAGACAGCAAACAGGCCUAAAUCAAAGAAAAUAUAAUUAUGUGGAUUUCCAAAGGUGGN
RNAcentral lists this long non-coding RNA (316 nucleotides) under Hordeum vulgare. Its description in RNAcentral is "long non-coding RNA (HVUL_LNC018319)". The record is from RNAcentral. Lineage: Eukaryota; Viridiplantae; Streptophyta; Magnoliopsida; Poales; Poaceae.